AAUAAAAUGCCUGAAAAAAGGAUUACUUUGAUAGAGUAAAUCAUGUAAACUAGCUACUUUUAUUA
RNAcentral lists this transfer RNA (65 nucleotides) under Nurudea shiraii. RNAcentral describes it as "tRNA-Ile". The record is from RNAcentral. Lineage: Eukaryota; Metazoa; Arthropoda; Insecta; Hemiptera; Aphididae.